AUGGAGGCGGCGAUAAUCUGCGCGCUGCUGAAGACCACGCUGCCGAAGGCCCUGUCGGCGCUGGGCGGGAGCAGGGACGUCCGGUCCAUCCAGUCGGAGCUCAGGUACAUCGAGGCCGCCAUCCAGGACCACCGCAGGAGGAGCGGCGGCAGGGACACGAGCCACCUGCGGGCGGCGUGGAUCCAGGACCUCACGCUCUUCGCCUUCGACAUCGAGGACUGCGUCGACCGCUUCCUGCGGCAGGAGAUGCCGCCGGAGGACGGCGAGGCCGGCUUCCUCCGCCGCUCCGCCCACGCCGCCAGGAGCACGGUGUUCACGCGCACGUUGUUCUCCCUCAGGAUCCGCAAGCUCAAGGCCAGAUCCGAGGAGAUUCACCGGCGCCUGAAGCGGUACAUCGAGGAGGCGGCGGCGGAGGGGACGAUACCAGACGGCGGCGGGGCGCCGGUCCCUGCCGCUCGGUGCGGUGCUCCGGCGGCGGCCGUGGGGAUGGACGAGCCUCUUGGGGAGCUUCUUGAGCUCGUGCGGGAACCUGGGGGGCCGUCGGAGGGGAAGCUCAGGGUGAUCUCCGUCGUCGGCUUCCAUGGCCUGGGCAAGACUCUUCUUGCCCACCAGGUGUUCGACCACGGCGACGUGCGCCGCCUGUUCCCUCUGCGGGUUUGGGUUUGCGCCGCGGGCAAGGGCACGCCAGAGCUUCUGAAGGAGAUGCUCGAUCAAGUGCUCCAGAAUGGUGCGGGCACCUCCGCCGACAGGGCCCGGCAGGUUGACUCUGCACCUGUGACCACCACGACCACCUACAAAUCCAACUGCGUCAUCCCAGAGGUCGAGGAGAAUGGCAUUGAGGAAGUCCAGAAUGGUGAGAGUGCCUCAGCCGGUGUCGCCAACGGCGGCAGUACAUGGCGCCAGUGCCUCCAAGCAGUUUGGUGGACUCUCGCGACGAUACUGCUGUACAUCUUGUCCCCGGCGUUCACCGUGGCAAACAUGGUGCGAGCCUCUUCUGUCCAAGAUGAGUCUGCAGACAUACAUACUGCUACUGCGAAUGUGAGUAUCUCCACAAGCACCAAGAUCGCCGCACAAGUCGAUGAGAACAAGAGUGUCCAGAUGAAGAGGCAAGCUGACAGGGGCAAGGCUAUUCAGGAGGACACUCACUUGGAAGGUGUAUGUGAUACAACGCUCAUCGAACAACGUCUAGGAUCAUACCUGAAGAAUAAAAGGUAUUUGAUUGUAAUUGAUGGCAUGCAAACAGAAGAAUUGUGCAACAUAACAUCUGUAUUCCCUGUGGAUGACGGAGUGGACAGCAGAGUUAUUGUGACGACAACCAUUAAGAAAAUAGCAAGACGCUGCAGCUCUGCCAAUGGCCGUGUGUACAAAAUGAAAACACUUGAUGACAAUGAUUCAAGAAAGUUGUUCUUCGAAGUAUUUUCCAAGGGUAAGUAUUCCGUUGCUGAUGCAACGGAGUUGAAAGCAUCUGCCCUCCUAGAGAAAUGUGGCGGCCUACCGCUUGCCCUUGAAAGCAAAGCAAAGUUUCUGAAGAGUGAAGAAGACCUGACCAAGAGUAAAUGUGAAGAUGCCUGCCGCAAGCUUUGUGCUCCAGAAAGAUGUGAGGACACAUUGGGAAGAAUGCAUGGGGUUCUCGCCAGCAGCUACGAGAGUCUAUGUAGCCUUGUUCUCCAGCAGUGCUUGCUAUAUUUCUGCAUGUUCCCGCGUGGCCAUCGUGUCAGGCGGAAUCCUCUAAUCAGGCGGUGGCUGGCGGAAGGACUUGUACAUGUACAACCAGGGGAUGCAGUGAGCACCACACCCCAAGACAUCGCAAUUGAGAAUUUGGAGACCCUGAUCGACCGUAGUAUCAUUCAGUCCACGGAAGUGAGCACCUGUGGGAAUGUGAAGAGAUGCCAACCUCCUGGGAUGAUGCUCGAGUACAUUGUCCGCAAGUCCAUGUCUCAAAAUUUCAUCACCUUGCUUUGUGGUGAGAGUGAGACGGCCGGAGAAUGGGACUACGUUCGCCGACUUUCUCUCCAUGAUUACUGUGCUGAAAAACUGCCCAAGGGCUUAUCUCGUCUGCGGACCCUGGCGGUAUUCCCUACCGGGGAUGCUGCUAAACACGGACCUACAUUGAAUUUUGCCAAGUAUGACCUACUGCGAGUGUUGGAUUUAGAAGAAUGUGAUGGUCUGAAUGACGGGCACCUCCAGAACAUAUGCAACCUUGUGUUUCUGAAAUAUCUGAGCCUCGGGGGGCGCAUUAGUGAGGUUCCAAAGAAAAUUGCCAAGCUGCAAUGGUUGGAGACACUGGACCUGAGAAGAACCAAGAUAGAGAAGGUGCCCAUAGAAGUCAUCCAGCUCCCCCAAUUAAAACAUCUCCAUGGCAAAUUUCAGCUUAUCGAAGGUGACUGCGGAAAGAUAAAUUCAGAGUACUUGUCAAAGAGAAGUAUCUUGGAGACACUUUCAGGAUUUGUUACGGGAGAGAGCGAAGGAUUUCCACAGCUGAUGAGGCACAUGAAGCGGCUGAGGAAGGUGAAAAUAUGGUGCGAAUCCACCGCAAAUAGAAGAAACCUGGACCAACUUGAGGAAGCCAUCAAGAUGUUCAUUCGUGAUGGGAACGAAUGGCCUCAUCGUUCCCUAUGCAUUAACUUCCAAGAAUGCUCAGACCCAUUCUUGGGUUCUCUGAAAGCCCCUGGCAGUCUUGCCUCGCUGAAGCUGCGCGGCAACCUCAGCGGAUUCCCUCAGUUUGUUACCAAGCUGAACAGAAUCGAGGAGCUGUGUCUGUCGUCGACUAACCUAAGCCGAGGUGUUCUUCUAUCUGGGAGUCGUCUGGACACACUUAAGUAUCUGAAGCUGAUCGAAGACAACAUCGGGCCUCUCGAAAUACGCCACGAGCACUUCCCAAGCAUCCGGCGCAUAUGGCUCGUCGGCGUGAAAAGUCUGCACUCUGUAACGACCGGAGCUCUGCCACAUCUUACUUCGCUUCAUAUGAUCUGUGAAUCUUUAGAUGGUCUUGCUGGCAUCGAAAUCGGACGCCUAGAAGGAUUAAAGGAAGUCAGGCUGCAUUCUGCAGUCGACCAAGGAACAAAAGAUGCAUGGAAGGAAGCUGCAAGGAGCCACCCUAAAAGGCCUGACGUUCUUCUUCACUGA
RNAcentral lists this ribosomal RNA (3126 nucleotides) under Triticum aestivum (bread wheat). Its description in RNAcentral is "partial small subunit ribosomal RNA". The record is from RNAcentral. Lineage: Eukaryota; Viridiplantae; Streptophyta; Magnoliopsida; Poales; Poaceae.